GGAAUAUAGCUCAGUUGGUUGAGUGCUUGCCUCACAAUGCAAAAGGCCCUGGGUUCUAUCCCCAGCACACCA
This 72-nucleotide transfer RNA is filed under the name Marmota monax (woodchuck). RNAcentral's name for it is "tRNA.Val". Lineage: Eukaryota; Metazoa; Chordata; Mammalia; Rodentia; Sciuridae. The record is from RNAcentral.